CGCAGCGUAGCUUAACAGUAGAGCGCCAAGCUCAUAACUUGGUCGAUGCGGGUGCAAAUCCCACUGCUGUCA
This 72-nucleotide transfer RNA is filed under the name Aliterella atlantica CENA595. It matches the Rfam family "tRNA". Rfam says of the family: Transfer RNA (tRNA) molecules are approximately 80 nucleotides in length. Their secondary structure includes four short double-helical elements and three loops (D, anti-codon, and T loops). Further hydrogen bonds mediate the characteristic L-shaped molecular structure. tRNAs have two regions of fundamental functional importance: the anti-codon, which is responsible for specific mRNA codon recognition, and the 3' end, to which the tRNAs corresponding amino acid is attached (by aminoacyl-tRNA synthetases). tRNAs cope with the degeneracy of the genetic code in two manners: having more than one tRNA (with a specific anti-codon) for a particular amino acid; and 'wobble' base-pairing, i.e. permitting non-standard base-pairing at the 3rd anti-codon position. Lineage: Bacteria; Bacillati; Cyanobacteriota; Cyanophyceae; Chroococcidiopsidales; Aliterellaceae. The record is from Rfam by way of RNAcentral.